UAGGGAAUAUUAGAAAUGGACGAAAGUCUGAUCUAGCAACACCGCGUGUGCGAUGAAGGCCUUCGGGUCGUAAAGCACUUUUUGGAAGGAAUAGGAAGGAAUGUACUUCCAGAAUAAGUCUCGGCUAACUACGUGCCAGCAGCCGCGGUAACACGUAGGAGGCGAACGUUAUCCGGAUUUACUGGGCGUAAAGCGCGUGUAGGUGGUUCUGUAAGUAGGGCGUGAAAGCUCCCGGCUCAACUGGGAGAGGCCGUUCUAAACUGCAGAACUAGAGGAUGGUAGAGGGAGGUGGAAUUUCAGGUGUAGCGGUGGAAUGCGCAGAUAUCUGGAGGAACACCGGUGGCGAAGGCGGCCUCCUGGACCAUUCCUGACACUCAGACGCGAAAGCUAGGGUAGCAAACG
Molecule: ribosomal RNA, 402 nt
Filed under: uncultured prokaryote
Description: bacterial SSU rRNA
Rfam family: Bacterial small subunit ribosomal RNA
Source: RNAcentral